RNAcentral lists this unclassified non-coding RNA (239 nucleotides) under Hevea brasiliensis (rubber tree). Lineage: Eukaryota; Viridiplantae; Streptophyta; Magnoliopsida; Malpighiales; Euphorbiaceae. The record is from RNAcentral.
CACAGUAGGGGUAGGUUUCUUGGAACGUGCUUAGUAUGAACAAAAUUCUAACGAUCCAGAAUGAAAAAAGGAAUGUAAAAUGUCCUUGUCUAGAAAUGUGGUAUCAUUGGGAGUAGGUUUCUUUCAAGUUGCUUAAUGAGAACAAAAUAGAUAUCCAGAUUGCAUAUGUGAUGCAAUGUGCAUUAGUAUCAUCUGAUGUAUGAAAAUAAGAAUAACCAAAAAGAUUUUCUACUGUCCUA